This 253-nucleotide ribosomal RNA is filed under the name uncultured bacterium. RNAcentral's name for it is "partial 16S ribosomal RNA". It matches the Rfam family "Bacterial small subunit ribosomal RNA", at positions 524 to 776 of the family's 1533-position model. The record is from RNAcentral.
UACGGGGGGGGCAAGCGUUGUUCGGAAUUACUGGGCGUAAAGGGCUCGUAGGCGGCUAACUAAGUCGGAUGUGAAAUCCCCAGGCUCAACCUGGGAACUGCGUCCGAUACUGGAUGGCUUGAAUCCGGGAGAGGGAUGCAGAAUUCCAGGUGUAGCGGUGAAAUGCGUAGAUAUCUGGAGGAAUACCGGUGGCGAAGGCGGCAUCCUGGACCGGCAUUGACGCUGAGGAGCGAAAGCCAGGGGAGCAAACGGG